ACAUAUUUUCUCCCUUCCCGAUCUGCCAAGCACUGACUAUGCCGAUGUAUUCUUGUUCUGGCGGAUAGAGUGGGGCUCCUUUACGACACACCCAUUUGAUAAGGAAAAAGGAGUAACCUGCAUAUCGAACGAUAGAUAGAAGGGGCUUAUUUAUGUACAACACAUUUCGCUAGCCUAAUGUACACUUCGCUCGCCUCGAUAACUUAUAUACAAGAGUGGAUAACAUGGCUCUAUGACCGUCUAAAAAGAUUAUUCGGAGAGAUCGCAAAAAUUAAAACAAAAAUCAACUAAAAUAAAAAAAAAAAAAAACCAAUACACCUAACACACAUCGCACUCACGCAACAGCUCCUCCCGAAUCCACCUGUCUAGGCUCCCCAACCGCUUCAUACAUGCCAUCCGCCAUCAGCCGGAUAGCUUGCACCUUGCUGGCCCCCGGAAGAACCCAUUUCACCGAAUGAUUCCUACUGAUCAUAAACGCCACCGUGCUGUUAUCAAACGAAUACUCAAACUCUGACACAUUCGGGCUAAGCUGGUCAUGGACACGGGGUUCCUUGAGCGCGUCAUAGGUGGUCAUAUUCCUGUCAAGGAGAUUGAUGACACUUUGCACGGUGCCAGUGAUGAUACGCGACCCACCCGCGGCACCCGUGAUGAAAUAGACCGUGCCGUUGGGAUGGGUGACGAUCACCGGGCAUAUGGAAGAGAGCAUGCGCUUGCCCGGUUCGAUGAAGUUGGCAGGUGAGGGGAUGUAGCCGAAUGAGUUGUUGGUGCCGGGGAUGGAAAAGUCAUCCAUGUCGUUGUUCAUGAUAAUGCCGGUUUCGGGAACCAUGACUUUGCUUCCGAAGAGGAGGUUUAUGGUUGUGGUGAGGCUGAUGGUGAGGCCUCUGGAGUCGGCGGCGACGAUGUGGGAAGUUCCCGGACUGUGCAUGAGUGAGUGUGGAUGUCAGCUUUUCGAUCUUUGAAGCGCUGAAUGCACAAUGGGUCCAAUUGUUUGUUUUGUCCAUCGUUUCCACCGAAGUUUCAAGGAUUUGAGUUGGGGAGUUGGGGAUUUGGGGCUGGCACAUACGUUUCUAGGCUUUCAAAUCCAUUGGGGUUAUAAUCAGAGACAUUGAGAGUAUGCGAAUCAGAGAUUUUGUUUCGGAUAAUAGCAGCCAUGGAGCUAUUUAGCAUAUGAUCUUCAUAUUCAUCCAUUCCCUCCGAAUAGGAUGGGUCAGCCAAAUGCGUUCGCUACGGGGAAAAGAAGGACCGGAAGAAACAUAGGUCAGCAUUCAGAAAUAUGAACUCUAUCACGC
Molecule: small RNA, 1289 nt
Filed under: Histoplasma capsulatum
Lineage: Eukaryota; Fungi; Ascomycota; Eurotiomycetes; Onygenales; Ajellomycetaceae
Also listed under: 1 other name
Description: hypothetical RNA
Source: RNAcentral